RNA transcript from Bombyx mori (domestic silkworm), 1394 nucleotides. It is a transcript of the gene named Erg28-domain containing protein, with no coding region annotated. The transcript has 5 exons. NCBI's taxonomy places the organism in Eukaryota, Metazoa, Arthropoda, Insecta, Lepidoptera, Bombycidae. The record is from RefSeq and is marked provisional.
UGUGUGGAUUCUGCAUAGACCAUAGACCUUGGUUUCCUACUUCAUUGGGAUUCUGCGCGUAACACACCGGAAUCAUUUUAUCGAAAUUUCAUUAUAAUUUUAGUAUAAAAAACUAUAAUGCAGGUAAAAUGCUGCAUUACGAGUCACGUUAGAGGUUUCCGUUUUAAUACGGACCAGAAAUACAAGUGACUUAAUUUAAUUAACUCGUAAUUUUUAACGUUUUGAUGUCACUUUACGAAAGUAAAACUUUAGCUUUUACUUUAUAUAGUGUUUAACGUUAUAAUGGCUGUACAGAACAAAGUUUUAUACGCUUUCCGGGGAUGGAUAGCGUUCGUCGCGUUCAUGGAUUUGGGGACGGCCGGUCGAUCGUAUAUCGAAGGAAGAUCAUUUCUCAAUAACAAUGGAGAGACUGAGCACUUAGACGGUGACUUCACGAUAUCGAGAAUAUUAGGAAUGUAUUCAGUUCUAAAAGCUCUAGCGCUCAUACAUUGCACCUUAUACAUACAUUACAGACCUGUCGUCUCAAUGGGUUACUGGUCGUUGAUUCUAACGAUAAUAUUGUAUUUCACUGAAGCAUUUUACUUUAGAUCAACGAAUCUAAAUUUCUAUGUGGUGUUUCCGUGCGUUUUGAACAUUAUCACACUUCUGGGUCUCGUGUACUUGCCGAACAAGCUGAGACUGUUUGGAACUGUACCCGGCACAUCGGGCAUGGACAGGGAGGUCGAAGACGAAAACGUUCAAAUAUUAAGACAAAUGGGCAAUUUCCGACGCAGAAAAACUGGCAACACUAAGAACAAACACGUCUAGAUUCGCGUGCACUGCCAACACUGAGUCGAAGAGAUCUGUCUUACACUUAUUCUUUGUUUUGCAGACGACCGUAUGGCCAGGGACAGAGCCAAGCCGAUGCCUAAAUUUAAGUACUUCUCCAUAAGCCUCGUUUGAAGAAGGACAUGUCAUAGCGCUCGGGAGACACCGUGGAGGCGAGCCCAUUCCAAAUCCGGAUGGUAUGUGGCAAAUAAGAUGUCUGGAAAUGCACUGCGUGAACAAUUCCUCAGAGCACUCCCCAUGGAACAUACGGUACAAAAUACAGAGGGAACCGAAGUCCCUCCGCAGACCCAGAGGCUCCAUUAUAUGGCUCAUACAAGCGCAUUAUGCUGGAGUACUCCUACAACGUGUUUCCUGUCACAUGGAACCAAUCUUACCAUGUUAUAUGGGGUGAUUACUGUAUUUAUAAUAUUUGUGUGAAAUAUAUAAGACUUGACGGAUUACCUCUGACGGAAGAUUUUCGGCACGAGAAUGUAUGUGCAUAACUUCAAGGAAAUCCGCGAACGACAUCUUCCCCCCUUUGCCCUUCAGAUAACCUGUUGUUCAUUAAUAAAUGUAUAGUUUGAUUC